GAUAUAGGUCUGACAAAAGUUCUAUCUUUAUCCUCCAAACAAACGUUUGAAAUUAUGAUGAUUAUAGAAAAAUCGAACCCAACAUUAUUUAUGGUGUACAUAAAAACUUCAUCUCUUUUUUUUUAUCUUUCUUAAAUCUCUUAUUCCUCUAUAGAUAGUCAUCUCUUUUAUUUAUGGUGUCUUCCUCCCAUCCUGAAAAGAUAUUGACAUAACAACAAUCCCAGAGAAAAAAAUUGAGUCUUUCUAGUGAAGAAAAAGAAAAAAAUUUAAAAACUUUACAUCUGGGUUCACUGAUUUUAAGAUUAGAUCUUCAGCUUUUUCCUGCAAUGGUGAUGGCAGCAGGGGAAUUGAAGUUUUAUGUGUUAGUUGUUGAUGGUAUUGCAGCAGCGUAAUUGUAAGAAUGUUAGAAAGAUCUAAGCUUUUAUGUUUUUUUUUGUGUUUCUGGGUUUAAGAUAAGGUAUUGAGAAUAACGAUCCAAUCGUUGUAUGUACUCCAUUGUAUGUAAAAUCGCUGGGUUUCCGAUUUGUGUCAGCUAUAUGUACUCCAUUGUAUGUAAAAUCAGAAUGAAAAUCGAAUUUCCAGAAAGUGGGAUUACGUAUUGC
Molecule: long non-coding RNA, 602 nt
Filed under: Brassica rapa (field mustard)
Lineage: Eukaryota; Viridiplantae; Streptophyta; Magnoliopsida; Brassicales; Brassicaceae
Description: long non-coding RNA (BRAP_LNC002439)
Source: RNAcentral